Diorhabda carinulata is the source of this 5759-nucleotide long non-coding RNA. RefSeq lists it as uncharacterized. The transcript is spliced from 2 exons. The record is from RefSeq and is a predicted model, not a curated record. Lineage: Eukaryota; Metazoa; Arthropoda; Insecta; Coleoptera; Chrysomelidae.
AUUGGUGCAAUAGCGGUUUGAAACGAACGUGUUUUUUUCUCGGGCUAAAAAUCAUGUGUGAUGAAAAACAGAAGUAGCGUAUCAAUCUCAAAUUUCUCGUUUAAUUGAAAAGAAACUCGGAUUAAGUGCAAUAAAUUGUUGCAAUAGGCCAAUGGGGACAAUUCUCUAUCUCUAGCGAGUGUUUUUAGCGAUGUAAGCGUUUUAGUAAAGGCCGCGAGAGCAAAUCAAAAUUCAAGGCAAUGUUGAUCGAUAUUUACGGUAUCGUGAUGACUGAAUGGGUUCCAGAGAGUCAGACUAUCAACCAGACUUACUAUUUGUCAGCUUUGGCAAUAGUGCGAGAACGAGUUCGUAAAAAACGGACAAAGUUGUGGACAGAAAAAUGCACCUGCCCGUAACGCGCUGUUUGUGAAGCAGUAUUUGGCCAGUAAGCGCACUCCAGUGCUCGAACACCUGCCGUACUCACCAGAUUUGGCGCCGUGCGAUUUUUUUUUGUUUCCGAAGAUAAAAUCUGCUUUGGAAGGGACCCGUUUGAACGAUGGAAGCGGUAAAGCAAGAAACUGUAGAUCUAAAGACAAUUACCAAAGAAGACUUUCAGCACUGCUUCGAUCAAUUGAAAAAACGUAUGGAAAGUGUGUGGGGAGGGGAGUAUAUUCAACGGGAGCAUUCGAAUGUGGAUAUAUAUAAUUUUCAUAAUAAAACCCUUUUUCCUAACCAGUCUCGUUAGAGAGAAAGUGAAUACAGUAAAAGCUCUUUAAUCGUGGGUUACAUAAAUAUACCGCAAAUACAGAAACCGUGAAUACGGAAUGGUAAUUUAUGUGGGAUACGUUCCUAGGUGACAAUAUGAAAAAUAAAAUCAGUUUAUUAAAGCAUUAUUAAACAUUUUGAUCAAUUAUCUUAAGGCUUAGGUAAUGGUUUGAAAAAUAUUGUAAUUUUCUCUUACUUGGCUGUUCUUAAAGGCACCUUAAAUUCAGACUGAUACGCAGCAGUCGCAUUAGCAAUUUGCCUCUUAAAAAUAAGGCUUCGAUCCAUAGAAGGAUCAAUGUUCAUAAAGAAAUCGCAAAGCUCAUUUGCCAUUCUUAAACCUUCACUAAGAUGUUUCAAAUUUAAUGUCACGUUUAUAGUGCUUGUUGAAUCCUUUUCUUCAAAAGGCUGUGAAUUCAACAUUUCUUCCAAGUCGGUUUCAGUGAAAUCUUCAUCUUGCAAUUCAAAAAAAUCCUGUGAGUUGAUUCUAUCUGUUCAAACCCAUCUCGUACUAUUCCAUUUGAGAUUUCGGUUGCGUUUGCAGUCAAAGUUUCAUUUUACCCAUAUUGUUCGUCAUUUUCUGCAGUCGGAGCAGGCUACAGUUUUUUCCAACAUGACUUCAAUGUGUGUGGCCCCAGUUAUUCUUCUUUUCUGUUUACGUUGCAUCUUGCUAUGUCAAAUUUCUUCCAGGAUUCCAUAACAUUCAUUUCAGGAUUACAAUCCAUAUUAUCCAAUAUGAUUUCGAAGAUUCGUCUAAUGCAAUAGAUCUUAAACCCUGUAUUAUUCCUUGACGUAUAGUUUGAGCAAAACCGUCGUGUUUGGAGGUCAAAAUGUCACUUUUAUAUUUGGAUGCACAGGAGUUUCAAGUUCGUGAGGAUGACCAAGUACAUUGUCCAAAACUAGAAGUGCUUUAAAGUCUAAAUUCUGUUUUUAAAUAACUUUCAACUUCAGAAAAAAAAUUCCGGAACUAGUCAUAAAAAAUAGCGCAGGUUAUCCUUGUUUUGAUUUUUUAAAGCUCGAUAUAGAUGUAGUUACUUCGACGCGAAAUAUUUUCAUCCAAUGCAGGUAAAACUAAAGUUUUAGCAAGAGAGUGCGGCUUUUUUUGCUUUAACUAACAUGUUGGCGAUUACGUAGCUUGCUUUUUGUGCUUUGUCUGAGGUUUCGAAAGACAAACUCAUGAAAUUUACCUGCUUCUUCUAUUGGUCCUUCAAAUGUUGAAAAUACGUUUGCCUUUUUAGACUACUGAUGGGUGUUUAUUGGUUAAAUGUCGUAUUAGUUUACUUGCAGCCAUCAACAAGAAUCGUCUGUGCAAUAUGUAAAACUGUAACUUAUGUAGUUUUCCUCAUAUUUUCGAUGAAUAGGAUUAAACGAUCUGCAGAUGCAUCAGAAAAUGGCAGCAGUCUAACUCUAUCCUUUGCUGCCUUAAAUCCAGGAACAGACUUUUCUCUUUUAGAAAUGAAUGUUUUGUUUGACACUCUCUUCCAAACCAGUGCAUUAAAUACGUGCACUUUGCAAAUUCUUUUGGAUAUCGUUUUGCUGCAGCAGUGUCUGCUGAUGCUGCUUCUCCAACGAUUUCAAUGUUAUGCAUUGAUUGUCUCAUCUUAAAUUUAUUGAACCAACCCUCCGAUGCUUGAAAGCCUCCAUGUGAACAUUCCAUCUACCAACAACUACCAUCAGGUUCUUUAAAAUGAGCGUAAAGACGCUUUAUCUUCUUCCGGACCAUUGGACCACUUAGGGGCACCCAUUUUUGGUUGCAGUCUUCGAUCCAUAACGACAACGCCAUUUUUUCUAUUGCUGGAUCACAAACAAUUUUCGCUGACAGUGAAGUUGAAGUUGAAGCUACAAACGACCUUAUUUUAUCCUCGAAUUUUUUCAUCGAUCGUACAGUUGAUUCGUGGACAUUCAAUGAGCGUGAAAUGGAUGCAAAUGACUGUCCAAGGUGUAAACGAUCAAGCAUUUCUAUUUCCACUACCACUACAGCGGUAAAGAUGUGUUACUCGAUCACAAUUUUUGUAACAAAUGUGCAAGAUGAAACAAUAAAACACGCAAAUCGGCUUUACCAUAGAACGGAGCAGCAAGAUUAAAAAUUUGCUUUACAUUCUCAAAAACACCGAUCGAGGCGAAGGCAGCUUAUGUCAGUGUUCGGCAAUAUCAUUUGACAACAUACUUUAGGCAAAGUUGCAAUAAGAUCAAUUUUACUUUUUUUAUUAGUCCAUUUGACGGCAUUUACAAAUGAUUUUGGUAUAUUUAUUGGCGCGAAUAUAGGAAUUGGGUCAUAUUUUUUGUAAUUCGCGAAUGAAGGAAGGAGCUUUUCUUAUACUUCUAUUCAGUAUUUAAAGAAAAUUUUCCUUUCUUGCUUUACUUAUUACAUACUAUAUUCAAAUUAUACGAGCAACUUAAUAUGUGACACUCCUUUACUUCGGAUUUUCUGUCAAGCGAUACGUCCUGUAACGAUAGAAAUUUGAACAAAAGGAAACUAGUACAUUUCUGUUUAAAAUGUGGAAACCUAAGUCAUAUUCUUUUUAUCAGAUAAUUUACGAGUUUUUUAAUUUUCUCGUAGUUGUAAAUUUUUGUGAUAUUCAUAAUUCAAUUAGUUCGUUGCUUUCACAUUUGGUUUAAUUUCAUUUAAAGAUUUUAUUGAUUCGAAAUGACGUCUCCACCCAAUGGUUUAAAGCAGUGUUUCGCAACCUGUGGUCCGCGGUCCCCUGGGGGUCCGCGGUGUCAUCUCUAGACCAUACAUAAAUGCUAAUUUCUCGUAUCGCUACGCUUACUUAGCACGGCGAACGUGCAAGACCGCCGCAUAUGGAACACAGCCCACGCCCACGAUUUGUACCCAAAUCCCCAUUAGCCAGCAGCUUCUUUUCGAUCUGGAGUCUGAAUCUGAGAAUGACAAAAGAUUUAUUAUGUUGCAACCACCAACAAAAAAAAAGAAAAUCUAAUAAAACAAAUGAGUAUUUGCGAAAAAGAGUGAGCUACGGAGAGUUCAAGUUAUCUGGUGAAAUUCCAGAUAAUAUGUUCAAGGAGGCGUUUCGGUUAAACAGAACACAGGCUUAUAAAUUAAUUGAAAAGGAUAUUACUGGUCAAGAUUGCAACGCAAAAAAUUAGCAGUGUGUUUGAGGUAAGAUUAAAAAAAAUUAAUAUUUAUAAGAAAAUACACUGAAUAAAUAAAAAUAUUUAUUCAGUGAAUUUAUACAUGCUAUCAUAACUCAAAAAAUGUUCUUGAGGAAUCGUCUUCAUGUCCUGAGUAGCUUCUCUAGAGAUGUUGAAAUGUUGAGUUCGAUGGAGAGAAAAAUUCAAGAAAUUCUUGUGUUAUGGCAUAAGAAAAUGCAGUAUUAGGCUGGAGGGUUGAUCAAAUUGGCUGUCUGUUACUCUGAGGAUUCUGCUCAACUGAGCUCUUUAUCGGCGAUGAAGCGUUUCUUCUAAUGCCACAUUUAAUGCGUCCGAACCAUAAGGCGUAAAGACGUACAAUUGAGCUUAAAUGAAAGCUAAUUAAAUUUGCAUAACUUCUAUUCCCAUAACUUCCUUCUAAUAUUACGUAUUUUCUCUGAUUUUUAGGUCCAAAGUUGACCAAAAGUUGAAAUUUCACUUUUUUGGAAAAAAUUAGCAAUUUUUGAAAGGCUGUAUCUCAGAAACUAUAAGAACUACAGAGCUACACUUAGUCCCGUUUUGUAGCAAAUUUUAUCUAGUUUAAAUAAUUAUGGAAUAGCAAUUCACGACAAACGCAUCGUUUUAAAGUUAUAGCGAGAAAACCAGCAUAACGGCAAAAAUUUUGAGGUUUUUAGAGUACUACGCAAGAAGCACAAGGUUUUCAUUCCUGAAAAGUUGGAUUUAGAUUUCCCUAAUAGUUCCAAACAACAUACCCAAAAAUCAGAACUAGCCGUUCACUUGCAAUUUUAAUGUACAAUUUGACUGCGUAUUUUUCAGCGGCUGACUCUCGGACUAUAAACUUAUUUCUUGAACUUGAGUGUUAUGACAGUUCAAAAUACUGCUUUGGUAUUAUUUGCCGCUUCCACUUCCUCAUAUUUUUUCAGUGUUUUCAUCUCCAACGGUUAUGUGAGCUUCUAAAGGGUUCACUUGUUAAUUCUCAUACUUUAUUUGGGCUCGGGACAUUGGGCUUUAUUAAGUACUGUAGCAAUAACUUUAUUUGUAUUAUUGUUUAAUGUAUCGAGAAUAUUGAAAAAAUUAUUUAUUCAUGCAAAAAUUAUAAAUCCAGAAAUGAUACAACGCACAAUUCAAACUCAAUUUUAGUCAAAAGUUACAUAUAAAAUAUUGUAACAGUAACAUUAUAACAAAUUUAGGUUUAUCACAAGGUCCAAGGUUGUCAUAUACAAAGAUAACGGUGAUACGAGAUAAAGCUAUGAAAUAAAUAAAUCUGUAGAUUUCAUAAAACUGAACUUUGCACCCUGAAGUUGAAAUAACAAAUAUUGUAAUUUUUAUAAUUUUACAUUUACUUGAAAUAAUCUGUAUUUAAUUGAAAUUUUUGUGAUAAUAUGCUAAUAACUUUAAAAAUCAAAAUAUUAACAACUCAAAAUAUAAUCUGUCUUCAGCUCGAAAUUUCUAGAAACAUUAAUGAUCUUUUAUACUGCACACACUUUUUACUGUUAACAUUACACCAAUACACAAUAAGGUCCUUAUAUUUUUUUAUACCUUAACUACGUUUAGUAAAUCGUUCUUUAUCACACACUAUUUUAAAAAUGUUUCAAACCGGUAUAUUAGUUCAUAAAAAAUAAAUAAAUUUAAAUACCUAACCGACGCGCUAAAACGCGUCACAUGACUGAGUGUGACGUAGAAAGUAAGUAAACAGACUUAAGUGAGGUGCAUUGUACCAGAAUAAACACUAGUAUAAAAACACCAAAUAAAGUUUUUUUGCAAGUCCUUCGAGAGAAAAAGCGACGAAAUCAAUGGUUUCAAGCUAUAAGAAGGGAUUAUGCGAUAUAAGACCAAUUCAAUAUUGAAACAAAUUUGGAAAAUUAUAUGAUGUGGAAAUAAACACAAUGCAAAAAAAUUCUUAAAAAAAA